This 207-nucleotide unclassified non-coding RNA is filed under the name Hevea brasiliensis (rubber tree). The record is from RNAcentral. Lineage: Eukaryota; Viridiplantae; Streptophyta; Magnoliopsida; Malpighiales; Euphorbiaceae.
UAGAGGACUCUUUUUCCUUGAAGUCAUGAUGAAACAUGCUCUGGAAAACAGGUGAACUUGCAGCAAGAAUUGCUUUAUGUGCUCUUAAAGUGCCAUCAGCAGUGUGGAUCGUAACAUCAGCAUGGAUGGCUUCAUCCAGCAUGCGAGAGAGACGUCUAAGUGUGCUUUGGGUUGAAAUAGACUGCAUCAUACCAUCACUAGGCCAUA